GCUGGGUGUGGUGGCACAUGCCUAUAAUCCCAGCAGCUUGGGAGGCUGAGGCAGGAGGAUCAAGAAUUCAAAGCCAGCCUCAGCCACUUAGAGAGGCUCUAAGCAACUUGGCGAGUUCCUGUCUCUA
Molecule: small RNA, 127 nt
Filed under: Marmota monax (woodchuck)
Lineage: Eukaryota; Metazoa; Chordata; Mammalia; Rodentia; Sciuridae
Source: RNAcentral